Gavialis gangeticus (Gharial) is the source of this 241-nucleotide long non-coding RNA. RefSeq lists it as uncharacterized. The record is from RefSeq and is a predicted model, not a curated record. NCBI's taxonomy places the organism in Eukaryota, Metazoa, Chordata, Crocodylia, Gavialidae. The transcript has 3 exons.
UCCCUUUCAUUCCUGGCAGGCAGCAGUGGGGGGUGUCAUCUGCCUGGACAAAUUUUUGCUUGGUCAGGCUAAGAUGGCCAUCUUCAAGAGCUGCAGGAACUGGCUAGCUGGGGCCAGCUCUAAUGAUACCCUAAGACUUUCAAUUCUUGGUUUGGGUAUGCCUGACAUUGGAAUUUGAACAUGCGGUCCUCCAGUGGGCAGUACCCACCAUCCAGGCACUUUGGACUAUUCAGGGGUUGGU